This 727-nucleotide ribosomal RNA is filed under the name uncultured bacterium. RNAcentral's name for it is "bacterial SSU rRNA". It matches the Rfam family "Bacterial small subunit ribosomal RNA", at positions 94 to 820 of the family's 1533-position model. The record is from RNAcentral.
ACCGGCGCACGGGUGCGUAACACGUAUACAAUCUGCCUUUAACAGGGGGAUAGCCCGGAGAAAUCCGGAUUAAUACCCCAUAACAAUAGAAUCAGCAUUGAUUUUAUUUAAAAGCUCCGGCGGUUAGAGAUGAGUAUGCGUCUGAUUAGCUAGUAGGUGAGGUAACGGCUCACCUAGGCGACGAUCAGUAGGGGAUCUGAGAGGAUUAACCCCCACACGGAUACUGAGACACGGAUCCGACUCCUACGGGAGGCAGCAGUAAGGAAUAUUGGACAAUGCCCGCAAGGGUGAUCCAGCCAUGCCGCGUGCAGGAAGACGGCCCUAUGGGUUGUAAACUGCUUUUGCACCAGAGAAAACCCCCCUACGUGCAGGGGGCUGAUAGUAUGGUGAGAAUAAGCAUCGGCUAACUUCGUGCCAGCAGCCGCGGUAAGACGAAGGAUGCAAGCGUUAUCCGGAUUCAUUGGGUUUAAAGGGAGCGUAGGUGGUCUUAUAAGUCAGUGGUGAAAUCUCCUCGCUUAACGAGGAAAUUGCCAUUGAUACUGUAGGACUUGAGUACAGUUGCUGUGGGCGGAAUAUGACAUGUAGUGGUGAAAUACAUAGAGAUGUCAUAGAACACCGAUUGCGAAGGCAGCUCACAAAACUGUAACUGACACUGAGGCUCGAAAGUGCGGGGAUCAAACAGGAUUAGAUACCCUGGUAGUCCGCACUGUAAACGAUGAUUACUCGC